GAUGAAGAACGCAGCGAAAUGCGAUAAGUAAUGUGAAUUGCAGAAUUCAGUGAAUCAUCGAAUCUUUGAACGCACCUUGCGCUCCUUGGUAUUCCGAGGAGCAUGCCUGUUUGAGUGUCAUUAAAUUCUCAACCUUAUUGGCUUUUGCUGAUAAUGGCUUGGACUUGGGGGUCUUUUUGCUGGCUUUCAUUAGUUUGCUCCCCUUAAAUGUAUUAGCCGGUGCCCCGCAGUGGAACCGUCUAUUGGUGUGAUAAUUAUCUACGCCGUGGACGUCUGCUAUAAUGGGUUUGCGCUGCUUCUAACCGUCUCUCGGGACAACACAAAUGACAAUUUGACCUCAAAUCAGGUAGGACUACCCGCUGAACUUAAGCAUAUCAAUAAGCGGAGGA
RNAcentral lists this unclassified non-coding RNA (389 nucleotides) under soil metagenome. Its description in RNAcentral is "partial contains 5.8S ribosomal RNA, internal transcribed spacer 2, and large subunit ribosomal RNA". The stretch from base 1 to 120 matches the Rfam family "5.8S ribosomal RNA", at positions 35 to 154 of the family's 154-position model. The record is from RNAcentral.